GUUGAUUCUGCCGGAGGUUACUGCUAUCGAGGGGCGACUAAGCCAUGCGAGUCGAAUGUAGCAAUACAUGGCGUACUGCUCAGUAACACGUGGAUAACCUACCCUUGAGACGGGGAUAAACCCGGGAAACUGGGUAUAAUACCCGAUAGAUCUCGACUGCUGGAAUGCAUCGAGCUUGAAAGCUCCGGCGCUCAAGGAUGGGUCUGCGGCCUAUCAGGUAGUAGUGGGUGUAGCGUACCUACUAGCCUACGACGGGUACGGGUUGUGAGAGCAAGAGCCCGGAGAUGGAUUCUGAGACACGAAUCCAGGCCCUACGGGGUGCAGCAGGCGCGAAAACUUUACAAUGCUGGAAACAGCGAUAAGGGGACCUCGAGUGCCAGGUUACAAAUCUGGCUGUCGUGAUGCCUAAAAAGCAUUGCAUAGCAAGGGCCGGGCAAGACCGGUGCCAGCCGCCGCGGUAACACCGGCGGCUCGAGUGGUAACCGUUAUUAUUGGGUCUAAAGGGUCUGUAGCCGGCCGGAUAAGUCUCUUGGGAAAUCUGGCAGCUUAACUGUCAGGCUUUCAGGAGAUACUGUCUGGCUCGAGGCCGGGAGAGGUGAGAGGUACUUCAGGGGUAGGGGUGAAAUCUUGUAAUCCUUGAAGGACCACCAGUGGCGAAGGCGUCUCACCAGAACGGACCUGACGGCAAGGGACGAAAGCUAGGGGCACGAACCGGAUUAGAUACCCGGGUAGUCCUAGCCGUAAACGAUACUCGCUAGGUGUCAGGCAUGGCGCGACCGUGUCUGGUGCCGCAGGGAAGCCGUGAAGCGAGCCACCUGGGAAGUACGGCCGCAAGGCUGAAACUUACAGGAAUUGGCGGGGGAGCACCACAACGG
RNAcentral lists this ribosomal RNA (875 nucleotides) under uncultured archaeon. Its description in RNAcentral is "bacterial SSU rRNA". It matches the Rfam family "Archaeal small subunit ribosomal RNA", at positions 7 to 887 of the family's 1478-position model. The record is from RNAcentral.